This 670-nucleotide long non-coding RNA is filed under the name Mus pahari (shrew mouse). Its description in RNAcentral is "lncRNA (MGP_PahariEiJ_G0005415.1)". Lineage: Eukaryota; Metazoa; Chordata; Mammalia; Rodentia; Muridae. The record is from RNAcentral.
GUCAUGCCAACUCCCGCAGACAAUGGCUGCUUUGUCCAGGAGAGAGGAUUUAGAUGACAACUGGGCUUAAACCUCAGAAAUCUUCAAUCUCUGCUUCUUCAAACAGUUUGUAUUAGAAGGGUGGCUGGGAAAAAUGAAGUCCUUAUGCACGGAGCCACCGCGUUUCACGGCGAUGUUCACCUGGCCCAUGAAGAUCUCCGGACAUAAAACCAGGCAACAAAAUCAGGAUGCAACAGGCUGGAGGGGCAAAGCACAGAAGUGGAAUGGGUCCUGCCAUAGGUGAGGGUUGACAUCCUCUUACACCUGCCGCUUCAUGCUUGUGCUUGGGAUGGUGAUGCGUCCGAUCUUGUGCAGGUCUUGUACACAGAAGAGCAGCAGCUGCAAGCUCAGGAAUGAAACGGCCACACCGUGCACAGAAGACAGUGCCCCAUGAUGGAUUCUCCGUUUCUUCCUCAGACACCCACUGUGAAGAAACACUUGAGUGUCACUGGCCAUGAGAGUCAUCUGGAUUUCAGUGAUAACUGGAUCCUCCUCCUGUUCCCAAGGCUACCCAUCAAGAGCUCACACUGCUACCGUUUCUCACACAUCGCUUGCUUGAUAGCCUAUGGAUAUCCUCAAAGCUCCUUGCUCCCUCUGGAAUCCACACUUCCCUGUGCAAAUCCAUGGAAAU